Oncorhynchus gorbuscha (pink salmon) is the source of this 2436-nucleotide long non-coding RNA. RefSeq lists it as uncharacterized. The transcript is spliced from 3 exons. The record is from RefSeq and is a predicted model, not a curated record. NCBI's taxonomy places the organism in Eukaryota, Metazoa, Chordata, Actinopteri, Salmoniformes, Salmonidae.
CGGGACCCAAAGGCUCCCAAGGCCCUCCAGGUCCCUAAUUUGCCGGGCCAGUACAGGACGGCUUCCGAUUCACCCGUCACAGCCAAAAGCAGAACGUGCCACAGUGCCCAGGGGGCAGCAACCUCAUCUACUCCGGAUACUCCGUCCUGUUCAUCAAUGGCAACAACAGAGGCCAUGGCCCGAAUCUGGCAAACAGGGGCUGGAGCAGAGGGCUCUGGUCAGCUGCUGGCCUCUUCGUGGUCCUGCCUAGAAGAGUUCAGGAAGAUUGCCUUCAUUGAGUGCCAUAGGCGAGGGACUUGCAAUUACUACACUGACUCCUACAGCUACUGGCUGGCCCUGUUGGACCCCGAAAACAUGUUCAGUCCUCUCCUCGGCUCACGCUGAUAUUUUCAGCAAGGGAUAGACAGAAGGAGAGUGCACAAGGAAACAAGGAAAGACUAUUGAGACGCAACCUGUUAGUGGCAUCUGCUCAAUCUGACGUUUUGUUCUCAGUUUUACUGUUUGUUUGUUUGUAUUUUGUUUUUAUUACUAAAUGACUGUUUUAUGAUUGACUGUUUUAUGGCAGAUGGUCAGUGUGAUCCAGGACUAGAUUCAAUCAGUUCAGCAUUAAGCCGUGAUAACCGACAGCUGCAGAGCAUAAUCAUGCGUUGGAGCCGAUGGCGCUAUAGAAUAAAUAUAUUUUUUAAUAUAUGUCAAACAGUUAAUAUGUUGACACAUUUGCUAGAAAAUCAGAGGUCUUAGGUUUGAGCCUUGGUUUGGGACGAAUCAGGAGGAAGGGGUUCUCGCUAAGUAAGUACCGUGACCCUGAUGAGCAGUUGGGUUCAGGUCAUCAUCCGGAAUCACUUGCUUUGAAGCAAGUUGAGAAGGGGUGAGUGUAACAGAGCUAAUAACAUACUAUAAGCUCACUCCACAGCUAGCGUGAAAUGUAUCCGAAGGAGCAAUUUAAUUCAAUAUUUUUCAGUAGCUCAAAAAAAAAAUGGUUGGUAAUGUCAAGGAAGGCGGUCACGUGUGUUAGCAAGGCAGAGGUCCUCGGUUCGAGCAUCAGUGUGAGCCCGAAUCAGGAGGAAGUGGUUCUCCCUAGCAGGCAGGCUGACCUCUGUAACAUAGGCUAUAUAUAAAUAAUAACACUCAAAAAUCACAAAAUAAAAUAAUAAGGAUUUAUAUCAGCCUAAUCGAGGUCUAGAUUCUCACAUUACCGUGUUUGAACUUGUAUCACUGCAUGGGAUUUCUACUAAUGUGACUUGGUGUAUAUAGCCAGGAGCAGCUUGUGGAUUUUACAUCUCCAAUGCAGUUACCCCUCCGACACCGCCCUAAACAAAAUAAAUGAUAUGCUAUGCAGUUGUUGGUUAUCGCGGGUUAACGCUGAACUGAUUGAAUCUAGGACUCAGUCUUUUUGAUACAUUUGAAUGGAAAGUUAACUGCCUGACAAAGUGCCUGACUGCCUGAGGACUCUUGUUGGAUGCUAUGUAAUAAGGAGAGGGAGGAAUGCUCUUCACACUGAAAAAUAAACUGUCCGACUCAAAAGUCUUAAAUAAUACAAAAUGUUUUGUGCAAAAAGUUUUUUUUAAAUGCACAAAACUGGUGAUCUAAAAUAAUGCAAAAUCCAUGGUGCAAAAGUUAAACAUGCUUUUAAAAAGCGUGAUCAUGUUUUGCACCUUUUACUCUCACAUUUUGUCAAAUAAAAAUAGGAAUUUCCCACUGAAUCCAGAGAUGUUUUGCAGUCUGCAUGGCCUCUCCUUCUCCUUACUGCUACUGCUGCUCUAUUACCGACAGCAUGCUGAAUGGACUCAUUUAGCCUGGGCAGAAACACAUUUUUCUCAUUACUGGAUGCACAUUUGAAUGAAAGGUUCAGAUUGAAUUCCACCACUUUUAAACAUCAUAUUCAUUAUCUCCAGCACCAUACCAGUCUACAUACUGUAUGUGCAAAUGGUCUGUAGUCAAAAAGAUAAGAAGAAACACAUGAUGUCAUCAACAUUAAAACUGAAAAUGGUGCUGGAGAUAAAGAAUACAAGUUUAAAAAGUGGUGGAAUUCCACUUUAACUGCCUGUCUAGCUACCUGAUGGCCUGUCUAUGUGUUGGAUAUUAUGUUGUCUAUUGUGUGCUAAGAGUAUGAUAGCAAUCUGGUAGAAGAUUGGUACCUUAUUGGGAGUACAUCAGUUACAGAUCAGCUGUUAACGCCAGACAGCUGAACUAGGAUCAGUUUUGUUAUCAGCAAUUGAGUUUGGAGGGAAAAGCGUGAACAUUUCACUUAAAGACAGCGAGUGCAAUGCAUUAUGAUGCAUUCCAAUCCAAAUUCAAAUCUAGAGUCGGAUUUCUAUUCCGCAACAAAGCCUCCUUCACUCACGCCGCCUAACUUACCCUAGUAAAACAGACUAUCCUACCGAUCCUCGACUUCGGCGAUGUCAUCUACAAAAUACCUUCCAAUACUCUACUCAA